ACUGGUGUUAGCCCUCUCACUGGUCAAAGCUGAAGGAGUUAAGGGGCAGAGGGAUUAGGAGAGAGACCCGGCUGGGGAAGAUGAAACAGAAGAGAAGAGAACUUGAAAAACCAACAUGAUCACCAUCUGUGCUUCCAAUGAGAGGAACUUCUGCCAUCAGGAUGUCACUGCAGAGGAGGCCCUAUUCUGUGAUACCACAAUGAGGUUCACCUGCUGGUAGGGCAAACUAGUGAUUCUCGAUCGCAGGCUAGGGAGGAAAUCUCUAUUGCGUUCCGCCUGCAACUCAUUUUACUAAGAUUCUUUCAGGUUGCAGUGACAGAGUUGUCAGAAGAUGCCCUAUUCCAUGGUUGUGUGUCUAGGUCGGCUGGAUCAGGUGGCUGCUUCCCCUUCUAACGUUCCCAGUCACUGGUGUGAGAAGUCUCUCUAUGGAUCUGGUCUGCCUGCAUUCCAGACUCUACUGGAGGAGCAAUUCUCCCUGCAAAGGACAGGACUUGCCAAAAGAGCGGAAGAAGCUGUUAUGAAAAAUGUACCCCAAAAUGCGUUGCCUUUUAAGAAGGACAGACGCGGGUCGGAAGCUCCAAAAUUUGCACUAAGUUCAGCUCCGCCGGGAAAAUGACAGAGACCACACGAUGCUGUCAGGAAAAACAAACUGAUCCUUUUAUUACAGAAAAGAAAGAACUACAGCUGUAGGGUCCCUGCCUCUGGAAAGAAGGAAGGAACCCCGGGAAAUGGUGAAGCCCCUUUUUAUGCCUUCCUGUCCCUGCGUGAAAAUCCCUGGACUGGGAGGGAGGGGAAGGACAAGGAGGAUGGGUGGCGAUCGGAUUAGCUGGGUGGGGAGAUGACUUUUUCUUUCAGAUGGCGGGAUGUCAAUUGCUCUUCUCCCGUCGCUGAUGGUGCUCCCUGUUGUUUGGCAGGAGGGGCAACCAGUUGAGAUGGGUGCAGAGGUGGGGCAGUUCCUGGCAAUUUCCGUGGGGUGGAAGUCCGCCCGGCAGGUGUUUUCCUCCAGGCCAUGGAAGGGUGGGCUACGUUGAGGAUGGCAUUUUAUUUGAAUAAAGUUGUUCCAGCUAAUCCCUCUAUUGUCCGUGUGUCCUUGAAUGGGUAUAGGGUGGUAGUAGGGCAAGGUUCAGGUGGGUUGGGGUCAUACAGGGUUCAUACAGAAAAUAUACCUGGAAAACAUACCUAAUACAGGGAUUUCUAAUUAAAAGGUAGCAGUCCUGACAUAUACAGUUCUAAGAUAUAAAACAGCAAU
Molecule: long non-coding RNA, 1249 nt
Organism: Zootoca vivipara (common lizard)
Lineage: Eukaryota; Metazoa; Chordata; Lepidosauria; Squamata; Lacertidae
Source: RefSeq, a predicted model, not a curated record